Molecule: ribosomal RNA, 579 nt
Filed under: Escherichia coli
Lineage: Bacteria; Pseudomonadati; Pseudomonadota; Gammaproteobacteria; Enterobacterales; Enterobacteriaceae
Description: partial 23S ribosomal RNA
Rfam family: Bacterial large subunit ribosomal RNA
Source: RNAcentral
AAAAGCCUCUAGAUAGAAAAUAGGUGCCCGUACCGCAAACCGACACAGGUAGUCAAGAUGAGAAUUCUAAGGUGAGCGAGCGAACUCUCGUUAAGGAACUCGGCAAAAUGACCCCGUAACUUCGGGAGAAGGGGUGCUCUUUAGGGUUAACGCCCAGAAGAGCCGCAGUGAAUAGGCCCAAGCGACUGUUUAUCAAAAACACAGGUCUCUGCUAAACCGUAAGGUGAUGUAUAGGGGCUGACGCCUGCCCGGUGCUGGAAGGUUAAGAGGAGUGGUUAGCUUCUGCGAAGCUACGAAUCGAAGCCCCAGUAAACGGCGGCCGUAACUAUAACGGUCCUAAGGUAGCGAAAUUCCUUGUCGGGUAAGUUCCGACCCGCACGAAAGGCGUAACGAUUUGGGCACUGUCUCAACGAGAGACUCGGUGAAAUCAUAGUACCUGUGAAGAUGCAGGUUACCCGCGACAGGACGGAAAGACCCCGUGGAGCUUUACUGUAGCCUGAUAUUGAAAUUCGGCACAGCUUGUACAGGAUAGGUAGGAGCCUUUGAAACGUGAGCGCUAGCUUACGUGGAGGCGCUGGU